RNAcentral lists this long non-coding RNA (1738 nucleotides) under Lathyrus oleraceus (garden pea). Its description in RNAcentral is "Pisum sativum (pea) long non-coding RNA (PSAT_LNC032238)". Lineage: Eukaryota; Viridiplantae; Streptophyta; Magnoliopsida; Fabales; Fabaceae. The record is from RNAcentral.
CUUAAGAUAGAUAAAAAUUGAAUUACCUAAAUGUUUUAGUGAGUCUUAUUUCACACAAUUCACAUGGGAUGCUACCGGAAUAACUCGGGAAAUUGACCAAAUUAAGAACCUGACAAAAGGUUUACCAAAGCACUUGCUGAUACAAUGACUUAAAGAAAGAAAAAAAACAUAUUUACAGUAUGGAAGUUUUGAAUAAAAACCAGUAUAAAAUACACAUUGUCAAACUAAAUGCAAACAACAAACCAAAUAAGGCAAACCAAACAAAAUACGUAUAUUGGAAUCGUAAGCGGUCCAUAACGUGAUACGCCAUUUAGAACACAAACAACAAAUAUAACACAAAAUUCGCAUAUUGAAUACAAUGAAACAGAUAAAAUGGAGUGUUAAUAAAACUCAACGAAUAUGAAUCGUAGCAUAACGCAUACAACCAAACAAACAUAUCGUAUCGAAAACUAAAUGCAAAGAUAUGCGUAACUCUAGCGAAAUAUAAACCAACACGCAUUUGCAAAGUAAACAACAAUGAAAACGUGAAGCAAGUCACACAACAACCACACAUAGAGCAUGUAUUAAAUCAUAACAAACCAACACCUAAAACAAACUUGAAUAACCUAACCAUGAGUUCUCUAAUGUCUCAACAAUUCCUCUUCCUUUUUACAACUGUUUUAAUUAAUUUUUUGUUACAAAUUUAUAAAACAACAACAAACUGGUAGAAUGUUAUCUUCUUAAUAUGCAGUGCCAAGCUCAUUCUAUAUUAUCUAUUCUUACUAAAGUAACAACACACACCAUACUUUAUAUCACCACACCAUACUCUAUCAUGUGAAUAAAAAAAAACCGAAUAUUUAUCUACACAUACAUAUAGUAUUAAACACACUCAAACAAACACACAACAAUUGAAAGCAAAGCAUAAUCAAAUGUAUUAACAAAAAAGGUGCUUGAACAAAAUGCAGGUUUGAAACCGAAACCGUGCAGAGCCGACAACUAAACAAAAUUUGAUCUUGAGUUCAAAAACAAGCCAACACAUUUAAUUGCAGCCAAAUUAAUACGAGAACAAAAUCAAACAUUCUUAACACUUAACUGAAGAAAAAUCAUAGACAAAUAUAGCUAAAAUCACGGCUGGCAAAAAUUGAAUAUCAAACUUACCAGAAUUGAAAUUGACGGCAACAGAAUCUCAAUUGUUAAACUCAAUAGCUAUCGGAGCACGAUUAUGAGCUCAUGACGGCGACGUUGUUGUUUCUUGAGUGAAUGGCGGCGGAAUUGCAACGCGGAGAGGUGUGACAGGUUAUGUUGUUGUGAUGCUUUCGUCGCCGGAGCUUUCGAAUGGAGAGGGUGGAGCUGGUCCGACGGUGGUUGUAAGAAGGGCGUUGCAACGAUUGUGUUUUCCGGAAAUUGUAUGUGAUUGUGUGUGUUGUUGCAAAACACGUUUGUUCCAGUUUUGAGGGUUGUUUUAAAGAGAGGAAGAUAUGUGUGUGAGGGAAUGAAUUUUUAGGUGUUGUGUUUGACGGUUUUUUAUCUGAAGGGAACCACCCAUGCUCUUUGGUAGUAGCAGUAAAGUUAUGGAGAUUUUGAUAGAAGUCUUGUGAGAUUGAUGUGUUUGAGGGUCAGUUGAGAGGCGCCGUGAGAGGGUCAGAUUAUGGGGCUCAAGAGGGUCAGAUUAUUGUCCUUUGUAGCUUUGUGAUAAUGUUAACCCAAUAGCAGGAAUUUAAGUACGAGUAAUAGAAAAUGUGAUGAUGGUGAAUGAAAU